RNAcentral lists this ribosomal RNA (362 nucleotides) under uncultured fungus. RNAcentral describes it as "eukaryotic LSU rRNA". It matches the Rfam family "Eukaryotic large subunit ribosomal RNA", at positions 40 to 398 of the family's 3401-position model. The record is from RNAcentral. Lineage: Eukaryota; Fungi.
AUAUCAAUAAGCGGAGGAAAAGAAACCAACAGGGAUUGCCUCAUGUAACGGCGAGUGAAGCGGCAACAGCUCAAAUUUGAAAUCUGGCCUCUUCGGGGUCCGAGUUGUAAUUUGUAGAGGGUGUUUCGGGUGAGGCGCCGGCCUAAGUUCCUUGGAACAGGACGUCAUAGAGGGUGAGAAUCCCGUAUGCGGCCGGCGAUCAAGUCCAUGUGAAACCCCUUCGACGAGUCGAGUUGUUUGGGAAUGCAGCUCAAAAUGGGUGGUAAAUUUCAUCUAAAGCUAAAUACUGGCGGGAGACCGAUAGCGCACAAGUAGAGUGAUCGAAAGAUGAAAAGCACUUUGGAAAGAGAGUCAAACAGUAC